UACGUAGGUGGCAAGCGUUGUCCGGAUUUACUGGGCGUAGAGAGCGCGCAGGCGGUCGUUCAAGUCGCGUGUGAAAGCCCCCGGCUCAACUGGGGAGGGUCACGCGAUACUGAUCGACUCGAAGGCAGGAGAGGGUAGUGGAAUUCCCGGUGUAGUGGUGAAAUGCGUAGAUAUCGGGAAGAACACCAGUGGCGAAGGCGGCUCACUGGCCCGGUACUGACGCUGAGGCGCGAAAGCGUGGGGAGCAAACAGG
RNAcentral lists this ribosomal RNA (253 nucleotides) under uncultured bacterium. RNAcentral describes it as "partial 16S ribosomal RNA". It matches the Rfam family "Bacterial small subunit ribosomal RNA", at positions 524 to 776 of the family's 1533-position model. The record is from RNAcentral.